CCUACGGGUGGCUGCAGUGGGGAAUAUUGGACAAUGGGGGAAACCCUGAUCCAGCAAUGCCGCGUGUGUGAAGAAGGCCUGCGGGUUGUAAAGCACUUUCGGUUGGGAAGAAAAGUUUGGCGCCAAUACCGCCGAACCUUGACGUUACUGACAGAAGAAGCACCGGCUAACUCUGUGCCAGCAGCCGCGGUAAUACAGAGGGUGCAAGCGUUAAUCGGAAUGAGCGUUGGUGAAGCGGGCAUACGGGUGUGAAAUCCCCGGGCUUAGCCUGGGAACUGCAUUCGAUACUACAUGGCUAGAGUAUGGUAGAGGGAAGUGGAAUUUCCGGUGUAGCGGUGAAAUGCGUAGAUAUCGGAAGGAACACCAAUGGCGAAGGCAGCUUCCUGGACUAAUACUGACACUGAGGCACGAAAGCGUGGGUAGCAAACAGGAUUAGAUACCCCGGUAGUC
Molecule: ribosomal RNA, 450 nt
Filed under: uncultured bacterium
Lineage: Bacteria
Description: partial 16S ribosomal RNA
Rfam family: Bacterial small subunit ribosomal RNA
Source: RNAcentral